Molecule: long non-coding RNA, 236 nt
Filed under: Capsicum annuum
Lineage: Eukaryota; Viridiplantae; Streptophyta; Magnoliopsida; Solanales; Solanaceae
Description: long non-coding RNA (CANN_LNC008231)
Source: RNAcentral
CAUGAGUCAGUUCAUUUAUGUAUUCACGAAUAAGAUAUGCGUGAUCAACGUAUCAGUACUCUCAGUUAUGCAGUAAUGCAUCAACUCAGUAAUAAAAUCUUGUAUCAAAUAUACAUGCUCAGUAUGCAUCACAAUAAUGUCAGUCAAGUAGUCAUGUUUCAAUUGUUCAAGUUCAGUAUGUAUUUCAGCUUAUCAUUUAUCCCAUCUCAAUCAGUCUCAUUCGAGGAUGAAUUUUC